RNAcentral lists this transfer-messenger RNA (388 nucleotides) under Negativibacillus massiliensis. RNAcentral describes it as "Standard tmRNA". It matches the Rfam family "transfer-messenger RNA". Rfam says of the family: Bacterial tmRNA, also known as 10Sa RNA or SsrA, is named for its dual tRNA and mRNA-like properties. Lineage: Bacteria; Bacillati; Bacillota. The record is from RNAcentral.
GGGGGCGUACAGGCUUUCGACGGGGAUUUUGAAGUAUGUCAAGCGAGCAGAGGCGGACACCUCUAUAAAAGUCCAUGUUUAUUAAAUAUAAACGCUAAAAAUAACGUUACAACCGUAAAUUUCAACAACGAAAUGGCGGUAGCUGCUUAAUUUAAAGCAGCUGUCCGGCUGGGGAGGACCACGGCUUUAGUUCGGGCAUCAUGAAGUGGUGAACGUCAGGCAGGAGCGUCUCGUACUGCCGAUGAAUCAGAGUCUACCGACCAAGUGCGCCAGUUUGCCGGUGUGCUUGGAAGGAAAACUGCCGUAAGGCGAAAACGGUAAACUGCGCUCGGAGAAAGAUGUAUGGAUGGAUUUUCGGACAGGGGUUCAAUUCCCCUCGCCUCCACCA